This 301-nucleotide ribosomal RNA is filed under the name uncultured bacterium. Its description in RNAcentral is "partial 16S ribosomal RNA". It matches the Rfam family "Bacterial small subunit ribosomal RNA", at positions 509 to 807 of the family's 1533-position model. The record is from RNAcentral.
CAGCCGCCGCGGGAAUACAGAGGGUGCGAGCGUUAAUCGGAUUUACUGGGCGUAAAGCGUGCGUAGGCGGCUUCUUAAGUCGGAUGUGAAAUCCCUGAGCUUAACUUAGGAAUUGCAUUCGAUACUGGGAAGCUAGAGUAUGGGAGAGGAUGGUAGAAUUCCAGGUGUAGCGGUGAAAUGCGUAGAGAUCUGGAGGAAUACCGAUGGCGAAGGCAGCCAUCUGGCCUAAUACUGACGCUGAGGUACGAAAGCAUGGGGAGCAAACAGGAUAAGAGACCCCUGUAGUCCCUGUCUCUUAUAC